Molecule: long non-coding RNA, 3885 nt
Organism: Calidris pugnax (ruff)
Lineage: Eukaryota; Metazoa; Chordata; Aves; Charadriiformes; Scolopacidae
Exons: 2
Source: RefSeq, a predicted model, not a curated record
AAAAAAAAGACAGUGAGAGAAAGGGGCAGAGAAAAAGUUGUAUUUUUUCCCAAUUAUGAAACAACAACAAAAUAAAACUCCUUACUGGUAAUGUGCUCCAUUUCUAAGAUUCAAAAGCAAUAUUGUGACAAGCAGCAUGUCAUAAGCUAUAUUUUCUGAACUCCAGAAAGUCAUUAAUUAUUAAUAAAUUUAAUAGAUUAAAGCUUUUUGAAGCUUUGUAGAAUGCCAUUGCAAAUUAUUCUGACAGAUAUGACUAUUGGGCUUCCCUAAAAACCACACCUUGGUAUUCCCAAAGCACAAGCUGAAAUGGGCCCUCGUUACCCCUCAAACACAGUGCUUCCAACUGAGUGACACAACAAGUCGGUUAUGGCUGUUCAACCAAUUUGCUUUCAUCAUGACUGUAUAUGGGUCCACAACUUAAAGAGGGCUCUUUUAUCCUUGGAUUAUGCAAGAAUUUUAAAAUAAAACCAGGAGGCCUCUACUGAUUCGUAGUUACAACAUGAAGAGGACUAUUCCAGGUGAAAAACCCUUUAGCACCCACCCAUUCCUACCAACUCUUUGGAAAAAAGUGUAAGUGAAAGCAAGAAAAACAGCAUAAGGCUUAUAAACCCUUAUAAAAAGUUCAGAGAUCCUCUUAAUAACACCAUAACACAUGUUAUCAUGCAGCAGAAGACUGUGGGCACUUCACAUUAAAUAUUAAACUCAAAACUAGGAGCUACUCACGUAUAACAAUCGCACUGUUGACUGUAAGCAAUUUCUUCAAGGCUUACAUCCGUAUCUAGUGGAGGCCGGGUGCCAUUCUAAAGGAGUUGAGAUAAUAAAAUGAGGAAGAUAAGAAAAGACUAUUUUAUUUGUUUUUUUUAACACAUAUCAUCUCUGAAGUGAUUAAGUUUCAUCUAUCAUGAAUCACACAGGCAUCUGACAAAUUCCCUGAAACACCCACAAAUACGAACAUUUUUAAUCUCAAACUAGCAAGGACAACCAGCCUUAAAAACAUUUAAUUAUGAAAUAAUAAGUAAUGCUAAUUUUUAACUUCCACUAAUGGAUUAGAUUUCCUCCAAAAAAACACAGGCAGCCUGUCCCAGGGCAGUGUCACACGGACACUAUCCCAGAUGCCAGUUGUGACUUAAGUAGGUGAUUGCAGCAACAGCAUUUGUUGAGCUGAACUUCCCCUAGUUUUACUGUGUGUUGAAAUCAAAUAGUUAAGCAAUAAGCAUGUAGAUUUAGUCUUAUCUCAUCACCUUUAGGACUGAAUUAAUUGUCUUUUUUAUGUUCUAGACAUACAUUUUCAAACUUAGAAGUUUUCCACUCUGGAUUUCAUACAAGUUGACAUACACUGUAAUCAUUCCUGUAGGCUUCUUGACAUUACACUUCCACAUUAUUGCUGCCUCCCCAUAAAGAUCCCAGAAGUGGUUUCUUUUGUUAUUAUUUUUGCAUCUCCCAUGGCAAAAAAUAUUGAACAACAUCAUAAAUUACACUUGAAACUAGCCAAAAAAUUUUCAAACACUGUAAGCGUGGAGAUGUCCCUAUUAACCUUAUUCAACAGUAAAGUCAUGUCACGGGAGCACAGAGAUUCUAGAUGUCUAUAGUAUCAAACACUGGAGUUCAGACGUAAAAGGGCACUUUUUGAUACAAUUGAUUUAUUUCUGCCAGAAACUCAUUUUACAGAAAUGCACAACUUCAUAUAAUUCUUUUCUGACUUCUUCAGGUGAGCUAAUAUACCACAUACCUAUGAUAACUUCAAGAAAAAAAAAUAAAAUACAUAGUAACUGGCAAGUUAAACCCUCGAAUACUUAACAGAUAGUAGAAUAAUCAAGAAGUCGGCAGAGUAAGGGAGCAAUCUGAACUGAAUCUUUGGUAGAAUACCAGUUAGAAAGGGGGGAAAAAAAACCCAACCCAACAAAAAGACAAAGGAGCAGCCUGAUUUUGAAAGGACAGACUUCAACCUGGAAAGAAGGAAGCCCCGUCUGAUUUCACAGGGGAUACUUCAGUGACUGUUGUACAAGACACUUUCUCUGCUAAAUAGAGAUGUUUUCCCUACUGCUUUAAUUAGUAUAUUGGGCAUUUUUUGAGCGGGAUGAUCUGCCAAUGCUGGAGACAAGCUCAGCAGUAUGUGCAGCAGAGAAGCCUGAUGCAGCUUGGGAAAAGGUGAGCAUCCCAGUAACUUCAACGUGUGAAGACACGCUUUUCUUGCAUAAUUAAUAUGCAAUUUGGAAAUGACUGAUUUGUACAAGUUAACUGAAAUAAAACUCUUUCACAACAAUCUUCAACCUACAUUUAGGCUGUCUGUCUUCCUUACAAACUAUUCCUCCCCAUAGCUCCCUUUUCUAUUGGUCAUGCUGCUUUUAUAAGCAUCUGUGUUCUCCCUUGGCAGCGACUCCCAGCUUCCACAUCCUGUGCAUGUAUUCCUCCAGGAUUUCUGGGAAUCAGGAAAACAGUCACCCAGAAGCCACUCACAUCUGCACCCAACAUUUUAUUUUAUCUAGCUCUGAGCACAUAUUUAAGGAAGUGCUCCUGUACACAGAUUUUUCAAAUUUCCUUACUUAGAAUGCAUGGACGAAGUCUGACAAAAAAUAAGAAAUAGGAAUUUUUUCCUAGCUUUAUGAGAACCAUGGUGACUGCAGAAGCAGUGAAGUGAGAACAGCACCAGCUUCCUCAUGGAAUGAAGACAGAAACAUGCAAGGAAAAGACUCGUUCAGAGAGUGUUUGUGUCUCUUUCUGCUGGGCUCUCAAUUAAAAGCUGAGAAAAAAAUCCAUCAAAGACUUAGCAACUCAUUCACUACAAAGAUCUGGAACCAAAAUAUUAAGACUAAUAGGAAUUAAGUCUGUAUGGAAGUAUCUGGCAUUCCAAAAAUAACCAAGGACAGGAUCCACAGGAACAGAGCUGGGAAACACCGUGUGAUGUGUCGCUUUUGUCACAAGAAGGCCCAUAAUCAGACAAGGCAACAGCAAAGACGGUUUGUCAGCAGAAGACAAAUAUGCUCUGAUAAGAGGAUAAUGACAAGGUUACCACAUCACAUGUGCCACUCCUCUUGGUGUCAUUCCAACAGGAGGAUGGACUAGAGCCACGAAGAUUCCCAGAAGGAGGGAGCAAAGACACUUUUCAGCAACCUCGCCCAAGAUUUAUGGCAGCUGGAGUGAGCACGAUUCUCAGCUGCUGGAUUCUUAAAGGCAAUCUAGAAAACAGCUCUCUCUAACGAUCCGUCUGUCAAGAGGAAGCCAAGAAAUGAAGUGAGGAUUCAGCACAGAGUUCCUUCUCCUCACUGUUCCACACAAGUGAUCCCAAGUGGAUGCUGGUGCCUUGGUGACUGUGUGUGGUGUGAGAGCACGAGAGAGAUGAGCUCUGUUUAACACCACCUCCUCUUCCCGGGAAGUCUUCCACCAAGCUUUGCAGAGCUGUUUUGCUGCACCACUAAUUACAGUCAGAGCCUGAGAGAGUUACAAAUCUCCAAAGAUUCUCCAGCAAAAAUUCAAGCGAGUAAAGGCCCAACCCCUACAUGUUAAAAAACCAGAGCAAACCUAACCUCUGACACAGAAUCCUCCUGCUCUGUUCAGUCUAGUGACUGACCCACAACACCCACUUCUUCCAGGAGAACAAGGUUGCUUGUAUAAAGUCAGAACAAUCAUAUUAGCCCAGUUUUUAAAGAGCACUUUGAGUUACCUUUAAAAAUAAAAUUGGUAAAAUAAAAAACAAGUCCUUACAGUACGUUUCAAAAGAGAUUCAUUGCACUCAAAUUCUCUCUACAUCCUUUAAAAGGCAACCAUUUUUAAGAACAGGGUGGUUAAGUUUUAACUGAAAUGGUUUUAUAAAACUUUUUAUAAAUAGAAUUUCUUUUUAUAAAUAUUUUUAUAAAACUAAUAAACUGAUGCAUUGCUAAUAGCAAA